GGCGUUAAGUUGCAGGGUAUAGACCCGAAACCCGGUGAUCUAGCCAUGGGCAGGUUGAAGGUUGGGUAACACUAACUGGAGGACCGAACCGACUAAUGUUGAAAAAUUAGCGGAUGACCUGUGGCUGGGGGUGAAAGGCCAAUCAAACCGGGAGAUAGCUGGUUCUCCCCGAAAGCUAUUUAGGUAGCGCCUCGUGAAUUCAUCUCCGGGGGUAGAGCACUGUUUCGGCUAGGGGGCCAUCCCGGCUUACCAACCCGAUGCAAACUGCGAAUACCGGAGAAUGUUAUCACGGGAGACACACGGCGGGUGCUAACGUCCGUCGUGAAGAGGGAAACAACCCAGACCGCCAGCUAAGGUCCCAAAGUCAUGGUUAAGUGGGAAACGAUGUGGGAAGGCCCAGACAGCCAGGAUGUUGGCUUAGAAGCAGCCAUCAUUUAAAGAAAGCGUAAUAGCUCACUGGUCGAGUCGGCCUGCGCGGAAGAUGUAACGGGGCUAAACCAUGCACCGAAGCUGCGGCAGCGACGCUGAUGCGUUGUUGGGUAGGGGAGCGUUCUGUAAGCCUGCGAAGGUGUGUCGUGAGGCAUGCUGGAGGUAUCAGAAGUGCGAAUGCUGACAUAAGUAACGAUAAAGCGGGUGAAAAGCCCGCUCGCCGGAAGACCAAGGGUUCCUGUCCAACGUUAAUCGGGGCAGGGUGAGUCGACCCCUAAGGCGAGGCCGAAAGGCGUAGUCGAUGGGAAACGGGUUAAUAUUCCCGUACUUGGUGUUACUGCGAAGGGGGGACGGAGAAGGCUAUGUUGGCCGGGCGACGGUUGUCCCGGUUUAAGCGUGUAGGUGUGUGUUCCAGGUAAAUCCGGUUCACUUUAACACUGAGGCGUGAUGACGAGGCACUACGGUGCUGAAGCAACAAAUGCCCUGCUUCCAGGAAAAGCCUCUAAGCAUCAGGUAACAUCAAAUCGUACCCCAAACCGACACAGGUGGUCAGGUAGAGAAUACCAAGGCGCUUGAGAGAACUCGGGUGAAGGAACUAGGCAAAAUGGUGCCGUAACUUCGGGAGAAGGCACGCUGACACGUAGGUGAAGUGAUUUACUCAUGGAGCUGAAGUCAGUCGAAGAUACCAGCUGGCUGCAACUGUUUAUUAAAAACACAGCACUGUGCAAACACGAAAGUGGACGUAUACGGUGUGACGCCUGCCCGGUGCCGGAAGGUUAAUUGAUGGGGUCAGCGCAAGCGAAGCUCCUGAUCGAAGCCCCGGUAAACGGCGGCCGUAACUAUAACGGUCCUAAGGUAGCGAAAUUCCUUGUCGGGUAAGUUCCGACCUGCACGAAUGGCGUAAUGAUGGCCAGGCUGUCUCCACCCGAGACUCAGUGAAAUUGAACUCGCUGUGAAGAUGCAGUGUACCCGCGGCAAGACGGAAAGACCCCGUGAACCUUUACUAUAGCUUGACACUGAACAUUGAGCCUUGAUGUGUAGGAUAGGUGGGAGGCUUUGAAGUGUGGACGCCAGUCUGCAUGGAGCCGGCCUUGAAAUACCACCCUUUAAUGUUUGAUGUUCUAACGUGGACCCGUGAUCCGGGUUGCGGACAGUGUCUGGUGGGUAGUUUGACUGGGGCGGUCUCCUCCUAAAGAGUAACGGAGGAGCACGAAGGUUGGCUAAUCCUGGUCGGACAUCAGGAGGUUAGUGCAAUGGCAUAAGCCAGCUUGACUGCGAGCGUGACGGCGCGAGCAGGUGCGAAAGCAGGUCAUAGUGAUCCGGUGGUUCUGAAUGGAAGGGCCAUCGCUCAACGGAUAAAAGGUACUCCGGGGAUAACAGGCUGAUACCGCCCAAGAGUUCAUAUCGACGGCGGUGUUUGGCACCUCGAUGUCGGCUCAUCACAUCCUGGGGCUGAAGUAGGUCCCAAGGGUAUGGCUGUUCGCCAUUUAAAGUGGUACGCGAGCUGGGUUUAGAACGUCGUGAGACAGUUCGGUCCCUAUCUGCCGUGGGCGCUGGAGAACUGAGGGGGGCUGCUCCUAGUACGAGAGGACCGGAGUGGACGCAUCACUGGUGUUCGGGUUGUCAUGCCAAUGGCACUGCCCGGUAGCUAAAUGCGGAAGAGAUAAGUGCUGAAAGCAUCUAAGCACGAAACUUGCCCCGAGAUGAGUUCUCCCUGAGACUUAGAGUCUCCUGAAGGAACGUUGAAGACGACGACGUUGAUAGGCCGGGUGUGUAAGCGCAGCGAUGCGUUGAGCUAACCGGUACUAAUGAACCGUGAGGCUUAACCUUACAACGCCGAA
Molecule: ribosomal RNA, 2270 nt
Filed under: Salmonella enterica subsp. enterica serovar Johannesburg
Lineage: Bacteria; Pseudomonadati; Pseudomonadota; Gammaproteobacteria; Enterobacterales; Enterobacteriaceae
Description: partial 23S ribosomal RNA
Rfam family: Bacterial large subunit ribosomal RNA
Source: RNAcentral